RNAcentral lists this long non-coding RNA (1716 nucleotides) under Homo sapiens (human). RNAcentral's name for it is "HSALNT0354150". Lineage: Eukaryota; Metazoa; Chordata; Mammalia; Primates; Hominidae. The record is from RNAcentral.
GAGAGUAUAGGGUAGAUGCAGUGUACAGAAAACACUGUUCUUGCUUCAUCACCAUGGAUUAAAAUCGUUUGAAAGCUUCAACGCUAGCGGGCAGUGUUUCAAGCAGAAAUCUGGCAGCUAGUGGAGUCUGAGUCCUUAUAUGGAAGGCAUCAUCAGUACCAGCAAGGACACACAUACAGCCACAAAGCAAGACCUAGGAGAAAUAUUUGGUGCUCUACUCUCCUAGGGAACUGGAAGGAACCUGCUCUCUCCUGGGUAUACUUUUCUAAUUUUAGAGUGCUAAAGAAGCUCUUCUCACAGGGACCCGAGUGAAUCCUUUCUCCUUGGAACAAAGGACAAGAAAAAAAGAAAGGACUUUACCGCAGAAAUGAUGAAGAUCAUGUCUCCAAGUCUUUUCUGCCGUUGCCAGUAUUCUCUCCCAAUCUCCUGUGGGCAACUUCUUCGGGAAAACACUCAUGCAAUUUCAUAAGGACAAGCGAAAAUAUGAAGAAGCUGGAUCUUGGAACUAGGCUUUGAUCACAGAGCGGAGCUGAGAUGAAAGUCCAUCCACUCAUUCAACAAAUAAUUGAAUGCCACAUUUUGUUGGAACUCAGAGUUAUGAGUGGCCCUCGCCAUACCUACACUUUCUGACUGAGCUCCUCUCUACCCUGAAUACAAGAGACCCUAAUAGGCAGGAAUAUCAUCACCCCUCUUCAGCCUGAAGAUGUUACAGAAGAUGGAUAUUUGUCCGUUUACAACCCUUAAGAUUAAGGGUUCCCCUGUAAAAGGGAGGGGGAAAAUAUGUCAGAGAUGUUUGAACCAGAGCAACUUCGUCCUGAAUAGUGGCUCGGUAAAGUGAGGCUGACACCUAUGGACUGCAUUCCCAGGAGGUUAGGCAUUCUUAGUUACGGGAUGAAAUAGGAGUUUGGCACAAGAUGGGUCAUAAAGACCUUGCUGAUAAAAGGAUGUGGUACAGAAGCUGGCCAAAACUCACCAAAAUCAAGAUGUGAUGAAAGUGACUUCUGGUAGUCCUCACUCCUCAUUACACUAAUUAUAAUGCAUUAGCAUGCUAAAAGACACGUUCACCAGCACCAUUAUGGUUUACAAAUGCCAUGGCAAUAUCAGCAAGUUACCCUAUAUGGUCUUAAAAGGGGAGGAACCCUCAGUUCUGGGAAUUGCCCACCACUUUCCCAGGAAACUCAUGAAUAAUCCACCCUUUAUUUAGCAAAUAAUCAAGAAAUAACUAUAAGUAUAAUCAGUUGAGCAGCCCAUGCCACUGCUCUGCCUGUGGAAUAGCCACUCUUUUAUUCCUUUACUUUUUUAAUAAACUUGUUUUCACUUUACUCUAUGGACUCGCCCUGAAUUCUGUCUUGUGCAAGGUCCAAGAACCUUCUCUUGGGGUCUGGAUCAGGACCCCUUUCUGGUAACAGAUGGGGAUGGAGUCGUGGGUGGGGAAGGGGCACAAAAGCCCUAAGAAGGAAUUGAAAUGAUCUCUCCUUUUAAGGUUCUGAAGCAAGGGCAAGUCAAGAAAGGAACUUUAGAAAAAUCCUUUACUAAAGCUUUGGGAAUAUUAAUGAGGAAGCAAUUCAUAGAUUAUGGUGAAAAGAGAAGAAUCUGGCUUACAAAACAUAGCCCUGGACUACAGGACACUUUGGGACUCAGCCCUAGUGUUAUCUGUGUGGACCCUAGAGGAACAAAUGAGUCCUAAAGAAUCUCCUACUGAAUUUGUCAAGUUAU